This 469-nucleotide ribosomal RNA is filed under the name uncultured bacterium. RNAcentral's name for it is "partial 16S ribosomal RNA". It matches the Rfam family "Bacterial small subunit ribosomal RNA", at positions 28 to 507 of the family's 1533-position model. The record is from RNAcentral.
GACGAACGCUGGCGGCGUGCUUAACACAUGCAAGUCGAACGGUGAAGCGAGUGCUUGCACUCGUGGAUCAGUGGCGAACGGGUGAGUAACACGUGAGUAACCUGCCCAUCACUCUGGGAUAAGCAUUGGAAACGGUGUCUAAUACUGGAUACGACCAACCCUUCCGUAGGGUGUUGGUGGAAAGAUUUAUCGGUGAUGGAUGGACUCGCGGCCUAUCAGCUGGUUGGCGGGGUAAUGGCACACCAAGGCGACGACGGGUAGCCGGCCUGAGAGGGUGAACGGCCACACUGGGACUGAGACACGGCCCAGACUCCUACGGGAGGCAGCAGUGGGAAAUAUUGCACAAUGGGCGCAAGCCUGAUGCAGCGACGCCGCGUGAGGGAUGACGGCCUUCGGGUUGUAAACCUCUUUCAGCAGGGAAGAAGCGAAAGUGACGGUACCUGCAGAAGAAGCACCGGCUAACUACGUG